Long non-coding RNA from Hyla sarda, 1397 nucleotides. RefSeq lists it as uncharacterized. The transcript has 4 exons. Lineage: Eukaryota; Metazoa; Chordata; Amphibia; Anura; Hylidae. The record is from RefSeq and is a predicted model, not a curated record.
UUGAUUUUAUAUAAUAGACCAACUCACAAUAGUCCAUUAUUUGGAAGUAAGCUCAGCCCUUUGCAUUUCUCUCUAGAACUGGUCUAGAACACCAAUCUUCACAUGAUAUUCUGAAUGUGAACCCGGCUUAAUGCAGCAAUUCUGUUGCUGAGAGCAGAGACAGGUGAAGAGAAAUCCUAUGGCUGGCAGAAGAGACAGGAUAGAGGCAAUCCUAUAGCUAGCAGCAGAGGCAGGAGAGCAGCAAUCCUAUGGUUGGCAGAAGAAUGGCAAUCCUAUGGCAGGGCAUAGCUGGGCAUCCUGAUGACUGUGCAUGCGAAGAAGAAGCAGUGAGGGAACACUUUUUUUGAAAUGUGAAGAAGAAGAAAAUAAAAUCACUGCUGUCAACAUGCAGACUGAUAAAAACAAACACUUCUCUGGCCUCUCCUUGAGGGGGUUAAUAGAUUUGCAUUGUGCUGUAUCUUGAAUGUUGGAAAAUAAUGCAAGUUGUCUAUUGACCUCAACACAGACGCCCAUCGUAUUGACUAUACAAGCACACGUUGCCUUGGGCGCACAUGCAGGCAGUGAAGUCAAUCAAGCCCCAUUACGGUCUUUGUGCACUGAUGUGAAUGUGGCUCUUGGUAAAUGAUUCUAAUGACGGGGCCAUGAAAAGCCUCAUUUCAAGCACAAAGAAAGAGUAAUAGGCCCGUGACCAAGGCGCACAAUCCAUCCUGGUGCUCUUGUUUUUGCAUAACUUUAGCGGGAAAUAAUUAGAUUUUCGUCAGGAAUGGGAUCGUGUUUUAGCACAUUUUUUUAUUUCGUUUCCCCUACAGGCCUGUGGCAGACACACAUUCACCUUGGUUUCCCUUUGUGUUAGUGUCGCCUGAGCUCACUUCAGCCUCCAGUGUUAAAUGUUGUUGAGAGUUUGCCGCUGGUAGCAGAAGAUGCAGCAGCUAGGAAGUGGUUAAUGUGGAUAAAUCAUAUGUAGUACUAUUAUUUUAUACACAUCCAUCUGUUUGACAAGAAGAGCAUUUUAUUAGAAAAUGUGCUUCUACGUCUUCCUGGGAUGCAGGACAGGGUGAGGAUGACAGAUUAUUUCUUGCACAAUGACUUCCUGUCAGACGCCCCUCCUGCGGGCGCCACCUGAGACCCUGUCUUGGUUCCCAGGCUGGAAGUUAAUUAAGCCCCUCUGUUUUCUGCCCGGGAUGGGAGUGGAAGGAUAAAUAACCAACAAUAACCAUUCCAAGUUCAUUUAAUGAGAAGUGCAAAUAAUAAUUGCAGUUCUGUAAUUGCAGCCAAUAGAUUAAUGAGGCCUGUCCUGGUUACACAGGAUAGACAGAGGAAUACUCAUUAAGGGAACGCGACAGGGUGCUGCUGGGAGCUAAAACAAAAGACCCAGGAAAAACACACAGACCUCAUCA